RNAcentral lists this ribosomal RNA (340 nucleotides) under Catophragmus imbricatus. Its description in RNAcentral is "partial 12S ribosomal RNA". Lineage: Eukaryota; Metazoa; Arthropoda; Thecostraca; Balanomorpha; Chthamalidae. The record is from RNAcentral.
UGUUACUUGUAAUUAAAGUGCUCUUGAGUAUUAGCAAUAGUGAAAUUUAACGGAUUUGGCGGCAAGAUAGACCAUUUAGAGGAACCUGCCCUGUAAACGAUGRACCACGAGUUACUCUACUUUUUUUAGUAAUCAGUUUGUAUACCGCUGUUGAUAGUUGGUUUCUUUAGAAAACUUUCKAUAAUGAAAAAUUCAUUGACUUCAAGUAAAGGUGCAGCUUAUAAAAAAGAAAGAGGUGGGUUACAAUUAAUAGAGAUUAAUACGGAAAUACUAUGAAAARGUUUUUGAAGGUGGAUUUAAUUGUAAAUUUUGAAAGAAUUUGAUUAGAGCACUAUCUUGU